Macaca mulatta (Rhesus monkey) is the source of this 917-nucleotide non-coding RNA. Lineage: Eukaryota; Metazoa; Chordata; Mammalia; Primates; Cercopithecidae. The record is from RefSeq and is a predicted model, not a curated record.
GUCUCUAGUGGGGGCGCCGGGGGACACCCCACCUCCGUUUCCUACGCGGUUCCUUCCGGACGGUCACGGCCGGGUCUACGCGGGCUGGAAGCGGGGACGAGCGGCGGCCGAUAAGUUGAGCGGCUGGGGGCGGCUGAAACGGAUGGUUGAGGAGCUUCAUCCAUCCCAGACCUCCCCUCCCCAUCAGUACCAAAAAAAGAGAGAAGAUAGUGGAAACACCUACCCCCGCCCCGUGUUUUCUUCUUUUUCCCCCCCAUCUCAGUAUCAUACUUAGAUCCGUUCCCUCGCGUGGGCAUCCCAGGGGAGACCUUAGUCCAGCCCUGCGGUAGCUGUCACUCUGUUAGUGAGGCCCAGGCUCUCCCCAGACCUGUGUCAGCUGGGAGACAGUGGGGCAACCCUAGAGUGGGAUGGGGUGGGGUGCACUGGGACCCAAGGCCCGGCUGCGGGAGUCCAGGUGGCCUGCCUACUGCUAGCUCUCAGUAUCCCCUCAGUUCGGCCUGUCCAGGGUGAGAUUCGGGAAGCAACUACACAUUUUUUCACUGAGGGUCGAGUCAGGCAGGGCGGACAGUCCAGGUGUGACCUGCCCUGGGCGCUAAGUCGGCCGAGGCUGAGGAGCACUAGGAUUCUGAGCUGAGGAUCAAGUGGACAAAUUCGUGCUGCAAGUGGACAGAAGACUCCUGUGGAGUGAGUGGUCCUUACCCUUCAGAAAUGUAGUAUCCAAUUGGAGAGUGUCAUUUUACAAAGUGAGGAGCAUCCUGAUUGCUGAACACGUGGAGGUGCCUGCAGAGCGUCACCCUGGAGAGAGCAUGAAAGCUCUGCACCUUCUCCCACAACGCCUUGCCCUGUGCUUCUCUUCAUCUAAAUUGUCUUCUGUAUCCUUUAUUAUGUACUUUAAAUAAACUAGCAAAUGGGCCGGG